This 1038-nucleotide ribosomal RNA is filed under the name Bifidobacterium sp. HMSH1. Its description in RNAcentral is "bacterial SSU rRNA". It matches the Rfam family "Bacterial small subunit ribosomal RNA", at positions 202 to 1253 of the family's 1533-position model. The record is from RNAcentral. Lineage: Bacteria; Bacillati; Actinomycetota; Actinomycetes; Bifidobacteriales; Bifidobacteriaceae.
AAAGAUUUCAUCGGUAUGGGAUGGGGUCGCGUCCUAUCAGGUAGGCGGCGGGGUAACGGCCCACCGAGCCUACGACGGGUAGCCGGCCUGAAAGGGCGACCGGCCACAUUGGGACUGAGAUACGGCCCAGACUCCUACGGGAGGCAGCAGUGGGGAAUAUUGCACAAUGGGCGCAAGCCUGAUGCAGGACGCCGCGUGCGGNAUGACGGCCUUCGGAUUGUAAACCGCUUUUGAUCGGGAGCAAGCCUUCGGGUGAGUGUACCUUUCGAAUAAGCACCCGGCUAACUACGUGCCAGCACCCGCGGUAAUACGUAGGGUGCAAGCGUUAUCCGGAAUUAUUGGGCGUAAAGGGCUCGUAGGCGGUUCGUCGCGUCCGGUGUGAAAGUCCAUCGCUUAACGGUGGAUCUGCGCCGGGUACGGGCGGGCUGGAGUGCGGUAGGGGAGACUGGAAUUCCCGGUGUAACGGUGGAAUGUGUAGAUAUCGGGAAGAACACCAAUGGCGAAGGCAGGUCUCUGGGCCGUUACUGACGCUGAGGAGCGAAAGCGUGGGGAGCGAACAGGAUUAGAUACCCUGGUAGUCCACGCCGUAAACGGUGGAUGCUGGAUGUGGGGCCCGUUCCACGGGUUCCGUGUCGGAGCUAACGCGUUAAGCAUCCCGCCUGGGGAGUACGGCCGCAAGGCUAAAACUCAAAGAAAUUGACGGGGGCCCGCACAAGCGGCGGAGCAUGCGGAUUAAUUCGAUGCAACGCGAAGAACCUUACCUGGGCUUGACAUGUUCCCGACAGCCGUAGAGAUAUGGCCUCCCUUCGGGGCGGGUUCACAGGUGGUGCAUGGUCGUCGUCAGCUCGUGUCGUGAGAUGUUGGGUUAAGUCCCGCAACGACCGCAACCCUCGCCCUGUGUUGCCAGCACGUCGUGGUGGGAACUCACGGGGGACCGCCGGGGUCAACUCGGAGGAAGGUGGGGAUGACGUCAGAUCAUCAUGCCCCUUACGUCCAGGGCUUCACGCAUGCUACAAUGGCCGGUCAUCGGGAUNCGAC